RNAcentral lists this ribosomal RNA (253 nucleotides) under uncultured bacterium. RNAcentral describes it as "partial 16S ribosomal RNA". It matches the Rfam family "Bacterial small subunit ribosomal RNA", at positions 524 to 776 of the family's 1533-position model. The record is from RNAcentral.
UACGAAGGGGGCUAGCGUUGUUCGGAAUUACUGGGCGUAAAGCGCGCGCAGGCGGUCCUUUAAGUCAGGGGUGAAAGCCCAGAGCUCAACUCUGGAACUGCCUUUGAAACCAGAGGACUUGGGUACGGGAGAGGUGAGUGGAAUUCCGAGUGUAGAGGUGAAAUUCGUAGAUAUUCGGAAGGACACCAGUGGCGAAGGCGGCUCACUGGCCCGUUACCGACGCUCAGGCGCGACAGCGUGGGGAGCAAACAGG